Long non-coding RNA from Ficedula albicollis (Collared flycatcher), 698 nucleotides. RefSeq lists it as uncharacterized. The transcript has 4 exons. NCBI's taxonomy places the organism in Eukaryota, Metazoa, Chordata, Aves, Passeriformes, Muscicapidae. The record is from RefSeq and is a predicted model, not a curated record.
UGUCAAGCACCCGGCCCGUAUAACCUUUUGCUUUAUUGUUUGUCUCUCAUUGUCUUUUAUUAAACCAUUUAAAAUUUACCAGGAAAGUGAACCUCGUUUUUCACAAAAUUGAGGAACUCUGCAGCUGGCCACAGACUUCUACCAGUGAGCUCCAACGUGCUGAAAGGAGGGAACCUGGUGUCUGAGCAUCCCAGUGAUUCUUCAGGGAGAAUGAUGCUCUCCCCACAGCACUCCUCAGCAACAGGAGCAAUGCUUAGACACAAGGAAAUUAUAAAGCUGGAGACCAGACUGGAAGAUUUCUUGCCACAGUGACACUCCAACUACACACAGAAAGCUUGAGUGAGCUACUGAGAAGACAGAGGUGAUAAAAAGUACCUAGCAAGAAGUUGCUAACUUAUCUCUGCAGACAAGAUAUUUCUGUAUCACUAUCUGGUGGACUGUACAUGGGAUUCAGUGGAAGUUCUGCAUCAGAGGAUGCAGGGAGAAAAAGCAGGCCUCCCAAAUUUGGGCUAUGUAUUUUCCUCCUGCAGGAAAGGAAGACAGGAGAUUUCUGCUUUCCACCAUUCAGCUGUGUCCAACUCCCAGACUGAAAGGAGCUGUGUAACGAAAGCAAAGUUGAAGAGAGCUGGAGAACUGUGCUUGACUGUAUCCUAAGAAAAGAUCAGAGCAAGGAUCCCUGACAUGCCACCUCCUCCCAG